Molecule: long non-coding RNA, 213 nt
Filed under: Malus domestica (apple)
Lineage: Eukaryota; Viridiplantae; Streptophyta; Magnoliopsida; Rosales; Rosaceae
Description: long non-coding RNA (MDOM_LNC009367)
Source: RNAcentral
CACAACUGCCCUGUGCAAACUCUCUCAACAACUUUGAGAUUUUUUAUUUUCUCUUCUUGCUGACACAUCUUCCGUUGGCAUCAACAGCACUGUGAAAGCAACCGGUGAUAUCUUAAGUCGGCAUAGAUAGCUCUGUCAUCGUAGAAUCAGCCGGUCUCACAGUAUCUUCUGUUAGCAUCAACAACACUGCGGCGAGGACGGUUGGUUACCUAU